This 356-nucleotide ribosomal RNA is filed under the name uncultured Gardnerella sp. Its description in RNAcentral is "bacterial SSU rRNA". It matches the Rfam family "Bacterial small subunit ribosomal RNA", at positions 164 to 525 of the family's 1533-position model. The record is from RNAcentral. Lineage: Bacteria; Bacillati; Actinomycetota; Actinomycetes; Bifidobacteriales; Bifidobacteriaceae.
UAAUGCUGGAUGCUCCAACUUGACGCAUGUCUUGUUGGGGAAAGUGUUUAGUGGCAUGGGGAUGGGGUCGCGUCCUAUCAGCUUGUAGGCGGGGUAAUGGCCCACCUAGGCUUCGACGGGUAGCCGGCCUGAGAGGGCGGACGGCCACAUUGGGACUGAGAUACGGCCCAGACUCCUACGGGAGGCAGCAGUGGGGAAUAUUGCGCAAUGGGGAAAACCCUGACGCAGCGACGCCGCGUGCGGGAUGAAGGCCUUCGGGUUGUAAACCGCUUUUGAUUGGGGAGCAAGCCUUCGGGUGAGUGUACCUUUCGAAUAAGCGCCGGGCUAACUACGUGCCCAGCAGCCGCGGGUAAAUA